RNAcentral lists this long non-coding RNA (484 nucleotides) under Phoenix dactylifera (date palm). RNAcentral's name for it is "long non-coding RNA (PDAC_LNC021900)". Lineage: Eukaryota; Viridiplantae; Streptophyta; Magnoliopsida; Arecales; Arecaceae. The record is from RNAcentral.
CACCUCCGCGGGCGGGAUCGACCGCCCGGGCUUCGGCCGCCGACGUGGCCCGCAACGGUUCGCACCCCGAGCCGAGCGGCGGACCGGCUCGUCGCCGUUCCGCAUCCGGCCGAGGCGCAUCGCCGGCCCCCAUCCGCUUCCCUCCCGGAUAUUUCAAGCACUCUUUGACUCUCUUUUCAAAGUCCUUUUCAUCUUUUCCUCGCGGUACUUGUUCGCUAUCGGUCUCUCGCCCGUAUUUAGCCUUGGACAGAAUUUACCGCCCGAUUGGGGCUGCAUUCCCAAACAACCCGACUCGCCGACAGCGCCUCGUGGUGCCGCAGGGUCCGGGCCAGACGGGGCUCUCACCCUCCCCGGCGCCCCUUUCCAGGGGACUUGGGCCCGGUCCGUCGCUGAGGACGCUUGUGGAGUGAUUGAUCAUAACCCUAUUUGAUUUUGAUGAGCUCAAAGCAUUUGAGUAUAUCUUAUGUUUACUAAUGAAUUCAAU